This is a non-coding RNA of Acanthosepion pharaonis, 110 nucleotides long. Lineage: Eukaryota; Metazoa; Mollusca; Cephalopoda; Sepiida; Sepiidae. The record is from the annotation of a GenBank genome assembly.
AGCCAUAUCACAAUGAAACACCAGUUCUCAUCAGAUCCUCAAAGUUAAGCAAUGUUGAGCUUGGUCAGUAUUCAGAUGGGUGACUGCUGGGGAACACCAAGUGUUGUAAG